Zeugodacus cucurbitae (melon fly) is the source of this 1085-nucleotide RNA transcript. RefSeq lists it as uncharacterized. The transcript is spliced from 3 exons. NCBI's taxonomy places the organism in Eukaryota, Metazoa, Arthropoda, Insecta, Diptera, Tephritidae. The record is from RefSeq and is a predicted model, not a curated record.
AAGAUUUUUUUAGGAGGGGCGCCAACUGCAACGCGUGCUCACUAUCCCACUGAAGCUAGUCGGGUAUAUAAAAGCGUUUGCGUUCAAGCUCAACUAAGACAGUUAACAACUGAGUUUACUUAAAGAAACAACAUGAAAUUCCUUGUGAUUUUUGUAGUCAUCAUCGCAUGCGCCAACGCAUAUCUGGUACGCGUACCAGUCGAUUCCAUCUCAUCGGCAUCGAGUGAGGAGUUACUAAUUACACCACCUGGCGGUCAGCCUCAACCGGUUUCAAUUUCCGAUUCCAUUUCUUCGGCAUCCAGUGAAGAACUGCUGCUACUACCAACUGGUGCCGCCCCUCAGCGCACGCACUUAUCUGGUGUAGGUGUCGUGUCACAACCCAUUUUGCAAGCCGUGAAGGUUAAGGUGCCUCAAUACGGUAAUGCUUUGAAUACCAAUCGCAUACUCACUCAAAUCUUUGGACCACAAGAAGCCAACGUACAAGGUGCGCGUGUUUACGGUUAAGUUGAAAGACAGGAAUAUGGACAAUGACCAAGUGGCGACCUCAGGAAAUAGAAAAUGGAAACCUUGAACACUUGCUUUUGCGAACCCAAGCAAAUUUGGAGAGAGAGAAUAUGAAAUAAUAAUCGAUACAUUUACCUCAUAUACUUAAAAAAAACAAUAUUCUUGAACAUUCUUUAGUUAUUUGGAAGAGCAGAAGAACUAGAGAUGAACUACGAAAAGCUUAAAUCCUCUCUGAUGAUAGCUUCGAGAUACAAGAUCAGUAAUGAUCUUUAGUUCUCCUUGUUAGCAAUACUAAGAUAAAGAAAUCAUCAUCCAGAGGCAAGUACUACAGGAAUUAAAAUACCAACUUUGUUAAUCGAAACUUCGGGAAUAUUAUAAAUCUGAAACUAUUUUGGCAAGCCCGUUUAGUAAAGCUCCGAACAAUCAGCGCUUUCAACCGAACAAACUUAAUAAACUAAAAUAAAAGCUCCACAGGUUUAAACCGUCUUUAUAGCAUUAAGCGGUUUUUGAGAAAUACUUUCUUGAUUGAUAUUAAAACUAACUAUAAUGUAAGCCUUUCCGAAUUAAAUGUACUCAUCUCA